Molecule: long non-coding RNA, 1606 nt
Organism: Bufo gargarizans (Asiatic toad)
Lineage: Eukaryota; Metazoa; Chordata; Amphibia; Anura; Bufonidae
Exons: 3
Source: RefSeq, a predicted model, not a curated record
UGUUGGGCAUCUACCAAUAAUCAUGGUAUAAGAUUGUCUGCUAAAAGUUCAAUAAAAGUAGAUUACAACCAUUGUGCAUCAGCCUUCUCUGUGCACAUUACGCUAUUUGAAUUCAGAACCCAUAGGUCAUAGACGCAGGGGUAAUUGCCCUCACAAAACUUGGCGCCCAACGUAGGGCUGGACUAAUCGGCUGUCCCUAGACACCCUGAUAACCACGGUCAGAGGACAUACAGAUCCACUUAAAGCAGCACUGCAAGGUUCGCCGGAAGCCUUCCCGAUAGCCAAAGCAAAUGCCAAGAAUACGGCAAAGAAACUGAUCCCGACUCAGAAGGAACUCAACUUGCAGCCCGGAGACUGGGUGGUGAUAAAUAGGCAUAUGAGAAAAGGACUAUUUCCAAGAUUCGAUGGUCCAUUUUAAGUACUGUUGACCACCCGCACCGUUGUAAAGGUUAAAGGAAAACCCAACUGGGUACACGCUUCUCACUACAAGAAAGUCUUGGAACCACAGGAUGAAGAUCCUCCUGCUGACAGUGGCUCUGACCCCGAGCGUGUCAGCAGUGUUCCGUCCACUGAAUAAUGAAUGGGACAAUGCUUUGAUACGGCACCAUCAGGUUCUGUUUGAAAGAAUGAAAUUGAGGGACUUUUGGAUCUGUACUCAGCCCUGUGAGUUCAGCCAGUAUGCCCUAUUUCGCCGUGCCCCUCAGUUUUUCUGAAUUGACUAAACUGGCCAACUCUACUAUCAUUUUCAUAGGCAUGAACUAAAAACAGGGAGGUACCCUUACCCGUUGCAGGAUGGGCUGAGAUCAGGGCCACCAGUUGAUUAUAGCUCUACCCCCUGGAACGAGAACAUGUGGUGCAAUGUGUCAUGCUUUCCAAGUUAGACAUACUGUUAUUGUUUGGAAAUACAGUCGAAAGUUAUGUCUUUUAGUCCUCAUGACAAAUUCGGCUACAAUGACUAACCCGAACAGCCUGGUGCAGUGUGUUGGUAUAGAUCCUGCAAAGGGUAAGAAUUUGGCCUGCAGCAACCGUACCUCAUUUGAUUUCAUUGCAGGAAUAACCUCCAACUCCUCAGAGGGUCAGGAAAAGGGACCAAAACUGGCAGAAGGUGUCCGACUGGCCAAAUUGAUAACUCAGUUGUUAGUACGGUGGUUGCAGUCCCAAAAGAUAUAUUCCUGGUCUGUGGGCAUAAGGCCUACAAGUGGUUGCUCAGAAAUGUCACUGGUUUAUAUCCAAUGGCCCGGCUUACUCCUGCAACCUCUAUAAUACCCCAUUCCGACAUAGAUAUGUUUAUUAAUAAAGUUUGUAAGAAGGGAAAACAAUAUCGAUAUUAUUGAGUGUAUCUGUGGUACUGUUCCCCCUGAAGGGAAUCCUUAGGGCAGAAUAGGAUUAGCUUGUUCUGAAGUACCUUUGGGCAGUAACAGUUCACAGAUUUCUCAAAAUGGGGGAAUUGAGAGAGAUAGAACUCCAUCUUGUAUAUCCUACAAUAAAGAAGAUUACUGAUUACAACCAUUGCGUGUAUCAGCCUUCUCUGUGCACAUUACGCUAUUUGAAUUCGGAACCCAUAAUCAUAAACGCAGGGGUAAUUGCCCUCACAGUUCUCUUGUAU